GACGAACGCUGGCGGCGUGCUUAGCACAUGCAAGUCGAACGAAGUGGCGAACGGGUGAGUAACGCGUAAUCAACCUGCCCUUCAGAGGGGGACAACAGUUGGAAACGACUGCUAAUACCGCAUACUGAAGGAGGGGAUUGCGUCUGAUUAGCUAGUUGGAGGGGUACCGGCCCACCAAGGCGAUGAUCAGUAUCCGGUCUGAGAGGAUGAUCGGCCACAUGGGGACUGAGACACGGCCCAGACUCCUACGGGAGGCAGCAGUGGGGAAGCGGCCGCAAUGGACGAAAGUAUGACGGAGCAACGCCGCGGGAGUGAUGACGCCCUGCGGGUGGUAAAGCUCUGUUAAUCGGGACGCGGUACCGGAAUAGAAAGCCACGGCUAACUACGUGCCAGCAGCCGCGGUAAUAC
RNAcentral lists this ribosomal RNA (408 nucleotides) under uncultured bacterium. RNAcentral describes it as "partial 16S ribosomal RNA". It matches the Rfam family "Bacterial small subunit ribosomal RNA", at positions 28 to 526 of the family's 1533-position model. The record is from RNAcentral.